Molecule: long non-coding RNA, 406 nt
Organism: Triticum dicoccoides
Lineage: Eukaryota; Viridiplantae; Streptophyta; Magnoliopsida; Poales; Poaceae
Exons: 3
Source: RefSeq, a predicted model, not a curated record
AGGUAAUCAACUUAAUGGAUCCAUCCCCUUUGGGCUUCUAAAGAGAAGUCAAGAUGGCACCCUAACUCUAAGAUACAACAAAAACCCAAACCUUUGCAUCGACAACAACUCUUGCCAACCAACAAAAAGGGAAAACAAUUUUAAGAUUGUUGUUUGUAUUGUUGUUCCGAUAGUUGCGGUUGUUGUGAUUGGAGCACUUGUAGUACUUCUGAUUCUCAUAGUGAGAAAAAAGAAAGGAUCUACAAAGAGCAGCAAACAACAAGACCGUCAACACCUGGACAACCACCGAUUCACAUACAAAGAACUAGAGACCAUAACAGACAACUUCAAGACAGUGCUUGGCCUAGGAGGGUUUGGAACUGUUUAUGAUGGCUUCUUGCAGGAUGGUACCCAAGUUGCAGUCAAG